This 383-nucleotide ribosomal RNA is filed under the name uncultured bacterium. RNAcentral's name for it is "bacterial SSU rRNA". It matches the Rfam family "Bacterial small subunit ribosomal RNA", at positions 46 to 392 of the family's 1533-position model. The record is from RNAcentral.
GGCCGCGGGAAUUCGAUUCAGGCCUAACACAUGCAAGUCGAGCGAGCAGAUUUCCUUCGGGAAUGAAGCUAGCGGCGGACGGGUGAGUAACACGUGGGCAACCUGCCUCAUAGAGGGGAAUAGCCUCCCGAAAGGGAGAUUAAUACCGCAUAAGAUUGUAGCUUCGCAUGAAGUAGCAAUUAAAGGAGCAAUCCGCUAUGAGAUGGGCCCGCGACGCAUUAGCUAGUUGGUGAGGUAACGGCUCACCAAGGCGACGAUGCGUAGCCGACCUGAGAGGGUGAUCGGCCACAUUGGGACUGAGACACGGCCCAGACUCCUACGGGAGGCAGCAGUGGGGAAUAUUGCACAAGGGGGGAAACCCUGAUGCAGCAACGCCGCGUGAG